AAGGUCUCGUAGGUGACCUGCGGAGGGAUCAUUACACAAAUAUGAAGGCGGGCUGGAACCUCUCGGGGUUACAGCCUUGCUGAAUUAUUCACCCUUGUCUUUUGCGUACUUCUUGUUUCCUUGGUGGGUUCGCCCACCACUAGGACAAACAUAAACCUUUUGUAAUUGCAAUCAGCGUCAGUAACAAAUUAAUAAUUACAACUUUCAACAACGGAUCUCUUGGUUCUGGCAUCGAUGAAGAACGCAGCGAAAUGCGAUAAGUAGUGUGAAUUGCAGAAUUCAGUGAAUCAUCGAAUCUUUGAACGCACAUUGCGCCCUUUGGUAUUCCAAAGGGCAUGCCUGUUCGAGCGUCAUUUGUACCCUCAAGCUUUGCUUGGUGUUGGGCGUCUUGUCUCUAGCUUUGCUGGAGACUCGCCUUAAAGUAAUUGGCAGCCGGCCUACUGGUUUCGGAGCGCAGCACAAGUCGCACUCUCUAUCAGCAAAGGUCUAGCAUCCAUUAAGCCUUUUUUUCAACUUUUGACCUCGGAUCAGGUAGGGAUACCCGCUGAACUUAA
This 554-nucleotide ribosomal RNA is filed under the name Alternaria alternata. Its description in RNAcentral is "eukaryotic LSU rRNA". The stretch from base 200 to 353 matches the Rfam family "5.8S ribosomal RNA". Lineage: Eukaryota; Fungi; Ascomycota; Dothideomycetes; Pleosporales; Pleosporaceae. The record is from RNAcentral.